GUGGCUGUGGCUCAGAGGUAGAGCGCUUGCCUAGCACGUACGAGGCCCUGGGUUCAGUCCUCAGCACCACA
RNAcentral lists this transfer RNA (71 nucleotides) under Marmota monax (woodchuck). It matches the Rfam family "tRNA". From Rfam's summary of the family: Transfer RNA (tRNA) molecules are approximately 80 nucleotides in length. Their secondary structure includes four short double-helical elements and three loops (D, anti-codon, and T loops). Lineage: Eukaryota; Metazoa; Chordata; Mammalia; Rodentia; Sciuridae. The record is from Rfam by way of RNAcentral.